This 1111-nucleotide long non-coding RNA is filed under the name Sus scrofa (pig). RNAcentral's name for it is "lncRNA (ENSSSCG00000058026.1)". Lineage: Eukaryota; Metazoa; Chordata; Mammalia; Artiodactyla; Suidae. The record is from RNAcentral.
GCCCUGGGUCGCUUCUCACCCUGAAGGAAGAAAGCGUCCUUGAAAUGCCUAAAGAGAAAAUCCUCAAAAAUGUUCCUUGUCGUUGUCCUUUUUUUUUUUUUUCCCCCUCUGAGGACAACGCUUUCCUCUAAAGACAGGCUAACAGCCUUUGGUGAAAACCCCAAGUACGUAACUUUGGUCCCUGGGGCUGCUUAGUCCUAAUAUGAUUACACAUCUAAAUGCAAUAAACGGGGCAAAGUGGUAUGAUUUUUCUGGGAAAAACCAACAUCAUAAAAGGGUCUUUAUUGAAUCAAGGGCCCGUGAACUGUUCUCUUCCCUAAUUACGGCUCCCAAGUGAACCGCGCUGGGUUUCCAGGCAGGACUCCUCACAGCUCCCAAGCCCAAAGGGCGAUGGGCUAUUUGUCACGACUUGUCUAAUUACAACGAAAGCCACCCAAAGGACCAAAGGAGGAUGCCAAGGAUGGCCGCGGCCCCCUCCCCCACUCGGGCUCUGGAAACAGGGGGAGCUGGAUCUCAGGCCUACUUCUAUUUUAAGGAGUCCCCCCCCCCAUCCCCACCCCUUACCUACAGAGUCAGGAUCCUGGGCCCCGCCCCUUUCCGCCGUCAAUGCUUAAGAGGGAUCCCGACACUGCCCGUCUCUAUCCCCAGCUCUACAGAAAAGGCCCAUUGUCCAACUGCCCUAUUUUGCCAGAUGUUUUUAACAUUCAGCGAUUGGGCCAAGGUUAGCAUGCACCCAGACCUGAGCGACAAUAAAUGUCUGCCAUCACCAGACGCGGGAGGGGGAGAGGGACAGAGACUCAGGCCAGGGAAGGGAAAACCCUCCACACUAACCAGCUAGGGGCGAGUGGUCUGGCCAGGCAAACUGGAGACCAGUAUUUUGCUUAUAUACAAGUCCUGGUUCCAAGUAUCUGUUUAACCGUCUUCUUAGUUCUAAGAGCAGAGACACUUUUUUUGGGGGGGGUGUAGCGUCUGCAGCAGAGAGAAGUUUCCGAGCCAGGGAUUGAACCUGCGCCACAGCAGUAACAAUGCUAGAUCCUUACCUAGGCCACCAGGGAACUCCUUAAGACACAUUUGUGAUCAAACGAACACCCCCCCUCCCCGCCACCAAAGU